UACGAAGGGGGCUAGCGUUGCUCGGAAUUACUGGGCGUAAAGCGCACGUAGGCGGGUCGUUAAGUCGGGGGUGAAAUCCUGGAGCUCAACUCCAGAACUGCCCUCGAAACUGGCGAUCUUGAGUUCGGGAGAGGUGAGUGGAACUGCGAGUGUAGAGGUGAAAUUCGUAGAUAUUCGCAAGAACACCAGUGGCGAAGGCGGCUCACUGGCCCGAUACUGACGCUGAGGUGCGAAAGCGUGGGGAGCAAACAGGG
Molecule: ribosomal RNA, 254 nt
Filed under: uncultured bacterium
Lineage: Bacteria
Description: partial 16S ribosomal RNA
Rfam family: Bacterial small subunit ribosomal RNA
Source: RNAcentral